GCACCUAUAACUCAAGCGGAUAGAGUGUAGGACUUCGAAUCCUGAAGCUGUGAGUUCGAGUCUCACUAGGUGUACCA
RNAcentral lists this transfer RNA (77 nucleotides) under Clostridium frigidicarnis. RNAcentral describes it as "tRNA_Arg_TCG". It matches the Rfam family "tRNA". Rfam says of the family: Transfer RNA (tRNA) molecules are approximately 80 nucleotides in length. Their secondary structure includes four short double-helical elements and three loops (D, anti-codon, and T loops). The record is from RNAcentral. Lineage: Bacteria; Bacillati; Bacillota; Clostridia; Eubacteriales; Clostridiaceae.